AAGAAGAAGAUGACAAGAGAGAUCACACCCAAAUUGGAUCAAAGCAUUGAUCAAGUUAUCAUCAAAAUCAAUCAUCCAUUUUGGUGGAUUAGGGUUUUCACCUCAUCAACAUCCAAGAUCCAUUGAGUUUGAUGAGACAUAUGAUCAAAACAACCAUGAUCUACGGCCAACAAAAGUAACCAAAUGUCAAACAAAUAUAAAAUGCAAAAGGAUAAAAUAAAAGGCAUUCAAAAUA
Molecule: long non-coding RNA, 235 nt
Filed under: Lathyrus oleraceus (garden pea)
Lineage: Eukaryota; Viridiplantae; Streptophyta; Magnoliopsida; Fabales; Fabaceae
Description: Pisum sativum (pea) long non-coding RNA (PSAT_LNC024721)
Source: RNAcentral